AGCAUAUCAAUAAGCGGAGGAAAAGAAACCAACAGGGAUUGCCCCAGUAACGGCGAGUGAAGCGGCAACAGCUCAAAUUUGAAAUCUGGCUCCCCCAUCGCGGGGGCCCGAGUUGUAAUUUGCAGAGGAUGCUUUUGGUGAGGCGCCUUCCGAGUUCCCUGGAACGGGACGCCACAGAGGGUGAGAGCCCCGUCUGGUUGGACGCCGAGCCUCUGUAAAGCUCCUUCGACGAGUCGAGUAGUUUGGGAAUGCUGCUCUAAAUGGGAGGUAUAUGUCUUCUAAAGCUAAAUACCGGCCAGAGACCGAUAGCGCACAAGUAGAGUGAUCGAAAGAUGAAAAGCACUUUGAAAAGAGGGUUAAACAGUACGUGAAAUUGUUGAAAGGGAAGCGCUCACGACCAGACCUGGGCCCGGCGGAUCAUCCCGCGUUCUCGCGGGUGCACUCUGCCGGGUUUCCCAGGCCAGCAUCAGCUCGCGCCGGGGGACAAAGGCUGGGGGAAUGUAGCUCCUCCGGGAGUGUUAUAGCCCCCAGCGCAAUGCCCCGGGGCGGGCUGAGGUUCGCGCGUCCCGCAAGGAUGCUGGCGUAAUGGUUGUUAGCGACCCGUCUUGAAACACGGACCAAGGAGUCGUCUUCGUAUGCGAGUGUUUGGGUGUAAAACCCCUACGCGUAAUGAAAGUGAACGUGGGUGAGAGCUUCGGCGCAUCAUCGACCGAUCCUGAUGUUCUCGGAUGGAUUUGAGUAGGAGCAUACGGGGCCGGACCCGAAAGAAGGUGAACUAUGCCUGUAUAGGGUGAAGCCAGAGGAAACUCUGGUGGAGGCUCGCAGCGGUUCUGACGUGCAAAUCGAUCGUCAAAUAUGGGCAUGGGGGCGAAAGACUAAUCGAACCUUCUAGUAGCUGGUUUCCGCCGA
RNAcentral lists this ribosomal RNA (909 nucleotides) under Heteroepichloe bambusae. RNAcentral's name for it is "partial large subunit ribosomal RNA". It matches the Rfam family "Eukaryotic large subunit ribosomal RNA", at positions 37 to 964 of the family's 3401-position model. Lineage: Eukaryota; Fungi; Ascomycota; Sordariomycetes; Hypocreales; Clavicipitaceae. The record is from RNAcentral.